GAACAUGCUGCUAUUGCUUUGCAGUAUUUCAUUGGAGUUCGGGCUGAAACAGCUCUCCAUUGUCUUUUGCAUUGGAUCUGCAGCUAUCAAACUCUCUUUACAAAAGUUUGCAGCAAGUGUGGACGGCUGCUAGCAAUGGACCAGAAAUCAGCUCUACUGUUAGCUCCAGUUUAUCGUCCUUACCGGCAAUUCAACACAUCGAAUGUAUCAUUGAGUUUGAAUGUUUCCGGAGCUUACCAUGUAGGCUGUUUCUCAGAGGAAUUAUGAUCUUGACUAUGACAGGUAAAAACUAUCCAUUGUCUCAGAUAUCAAAUUGGCAAGAUAAAGAAAUUAUAACACAUCAUUCAAAGAACUCGCACUAGAAUGUUGAAUUUUACGUCUUUUCUUAAUUUUCUUGAUAGCUAAUGGGACAUGAACUUUUCUUUUAUGUUAUGUUUGUAUUAUUUAAGGGAGAUGGUUAUAAUCAAAUUAUCUGCACCAUAAUCUAAAAUAAUUUGCUAGAUCAUAAGUUUUCAAAUUUUUAGUGCUAUCCGAGUGCACAAAUCAUCUUAUAUAUAUGCGUUGUUUGCAAACUAUGAAAUCACUUUAAAUGGAUUUUGUAGUGAUAUGCAAACUGUUUCUGGUGAUCCCAAAGCAAACAUAGAGCGUGACAAAUUGGUGAUGUAGGAAAAAAAGCGAAGGUAAAACCGUAUAAGAGAUAAGAGAGAAGGAAAAGGAACUAGAAUUGGGAAAGGUUUUUUUUUUUUUUUUUUGGUAAAAGGAUAGAUUCAAAGAACAUAGAGGCACAAGGCCAAACAACACGCAGAGAAACAACUUCCGCAACCCCAGAAGAUACAGACACAGAUAAAUAGGAUCAAGAAAGACACCACCUCAACAGGUACCAUCGUCGCCCUAUUACCAGUGCAACCCAUCCCCAAUUACAAAGGAGGACAGGGAAGACCAUCUUUGUUCAAAAUGCCAACUAGCGAAGAUGGAGGUUGAACAACCCAGCCAAAGCUGCACAUCUCUGGUGAAAUAUUCCUUGCGACAAAAUCCGCCGCCAUAUUUGUCGAUCAUGGAAUCCACGACCAUGAGCAUGAAUGAAAACUCCUCCCAAUAUCCAAGAUACGGCUAAGAAUUGGGAGAAGGUCCGAAUUGGGAAAGGUGCUAUUCUCUUUUGUCGGCACAAGUCUAAGUUGUGCUAUGGCUAAAAUUAUUAUAACUUAUGGCCCGGAUCCUCGGACUUGGUGGAUUUGGCGGCAGGGAUCUGAAGAUGAUCCCUUUCCCAGGAGCUUUUUCGAGAAGAAAAACAAAAUCUUUGUUGUAAUUCCAUAUUAGGUUAAAAGGAAAUUUGAUGUAGCAGUUGUGGGAUUCAUUGUUCGGCUCAUAGCAUGUAAACCUUAUACACGGUGGAGUUGCCGGUACUUGCGCUGUUUUAUGAUCGUUUUGAGUGCAAUGCAUGAAGCGCCCAUGGCUCUAGCGUGAUUGCGGUUUGACA
RNA transcript from Malus domestica (apple), 1477 nucleotides. It is a transcript of the gene named mediator of RNA polymerase II transcription subunit 27, with no coding region annotated. NCBI's taxonomy places the organism in Eukaryota, Viridiplantae, Streptophyta, Magnoliopsida, Rosales, Rosaceae. The record is from RefSeq and is a predicted model, not a curated record.